RNAcentral lists this ribosomal RNA (468 nucleotides) under uncultured bacterium. Its description in RNAcentral is "partial 16S ribosomal RNA". It matches the Rfam family "Bacterial small subunit ribosomal RNA", at positions 28 to 507 of the family's 1533-position model. The record is from RNAcentral.
GACGAACGCUGGCGGCGGGCUUAACACAUGCAAGUCGAACGGAAAGGCCCUGCUUUUGUGGUGUUCUCGAGUGGCGAACGGGUGAGUAACACGUGAGUAACCUGCCCUUGACUUUGGGAUAACUUCAGGUAACUGGGGCUAAUACCGGAUCGGAGCUCCUGCUGCAUGGUGGGGGUUGGAAAGUUUCGGCGGUUGGGGAUGGACUCGCGGCUUAUCAGCUUGUUGGUGGGGUAGUGGCUUACCAAGGCUGUGACGGGUAGCCAGCCUGAGAGGGUGACCGGCCACAAUGGGACUGAGAUACGGCCCAGACUGCUACGGGAGGCAGCAGUGGGGAAUAUUGCACAAUGGGCGGAAGCCUGAUGCAGAAACGCCGCGUGCGGGAUGACGGCCUUCGGGUUGUAAACCGCUUUCGCCUGUGACGAAGCGUGAGUGACGGUAAUGGAUAAAGAAGCACCGGCUAACUACGUG